UUUUUUACCUCUAAUCAGUCGAUAAAUCCAAUACUUAAUAUUAUUACACAUUUAAAUCGGACGUGAAACUUGCAUACGACGGAGACGGACACUGAACAGUUGUUAUGCUGAUAGUUAUGUAAUAAUAUGCAUUUAGUGGCUGCACUCGUUUGGAUCAGAAACGAUUGUUUCAAGAGUUAUUCGAUUCACGCGAAAAUAACGUCGGACAAUCUCUUUUACGUAAAUAUACUCGGUGUUAUUCUUGUUCCGAAUGAAAAACCAACAACAACAACAACACACAAUAAACGUGAUAAACGAGAAAUUGACCGCGAGCUCGAGUAACAAUUUUCGGGCAUAUUUAAAAGAACAAAAUGACGUUUGGUUCUUUUUGUGCGCGGGUACGCGGUCGGUCGUAUACCUACCUGCGAGUUAAACCGUACGAAGGGUAAGUCGAUGUUUUUGUUUUCGGUUUUACUAAAACCACACUAUAUACCUAUGUACACAACCUAUGUACACAACGGUACGGGCGAUCAUUUGUACCGCGCAGCAAAAAGUUUAUAAUAUUCUAAUAAUAAUAAUAAUUGUCGACUGCAUAUUAUAAAUAUAACAAUAUAGAAUUUUAACAAUUUUCCCCGUUGGACGUUGUACAAAAACGAUUUUUAUUUUUCCGCGUACGACGUGGGUACCUGCCUAUAUACAAUAUAUAUUAUUGAAGUUUAUUUGAUAAAUUUUGUUCGAAAUCAAUUUAAGAUUAAAAUGUAUAACUAAAAGUAUAUAGGUCGCGAAAUAUAUGCGAUAUAGUUACCUGGCGGUAUAGGUAUCGUGAUUAAUUUUAAAUUAAUUUCAUCGCAUUUUAUACGAUAUUUUAUUUUCAGGUCUAUUAAUGUAUUAUUGAAUCGUAAAGUCUUGCGUGCCUGCUACGUGUAAUAUUAAGUUAGAUAUUAAAUUCGCAUACACGAAAAUAAUAGUUGUAAUCCAAAAGAACAAUCAUAUAUUUUUUUAUUAAUUUUUCCGAUUUUUCCCAUUUACUGCGAAAACUUCAGAGAAAAUCAAAAAUGGACCUUUUUAAAGUACCAUCACAGUCAAAUUUCCUUUCAGAAAAAAUGCUAUUAUUGUAAAUCUGAAUAAAAUUGCUGGAAGAAAAGUUGUUCACAGAUAAAAAAAAAAUAAAAAAAUAAUUGUAAAAUUGCAUUAUAGAAUUAUAAGAACAUUCUUCGCUCUGCUCUGCUAAACCAGUCUCUGGCUGAUAUUUUAACAAUAUAUACAUAUAUAAUUAUAACUUGAAAACGGAAACAUUUUUACUGUUCGAUUUAUUAAAACUUAUAAACAAAAACAAAUUGGAUUAUUUUUGAAAAUAUAAAUACCUAUCCAAAUCGAAUUUACUUCCAGUAGAAAAUGCAGGCGUGAAUUGACAAAAAAAAAAUAAAAUAAAAAGCGCACAAUCAUAGGAAAACCAAAAUACUAUAGGAUCAUAAUUUGUAUGAAUAAUGUUUAUUUAAGCGUUUGGCCUCUUUUUUUUCCCCGAUAUCAAAACGAAUUAUUUUCUUUGAGCAAAUAUUCAUUUCUUUCCUUUCUAUUUAAAAUGAUCUCUAUCUCUGCUUAAUCGUAGAUUUGGUUAAUUAAUGUUUUUAUUAUCUAUACAAUGAUAAAAUUUAAUUCAAAUUUAUAAUAUAAAAAAACCUAUUCGCUUUAAGUUUGUGUGUAAACAUGUAGAAAAUGUCUACUGAAAAGCUAAAUUCAACUACAAAAUAAAUUAUAAUUAUCUGUGUCUCGAAUUAUUGAGUAUUUAUAUGAAGCCGAAAAACUUUAUCCUCAUAGAACCAAAAAGUAAGAACUAACUACAAAAAAAACUUGAAAAUUUAAAAUUACUAUAGAGUAUAUAAAAUAUAGAUGUAGCUUAAAAAUGUCCAAAAUAUUUUUAAAAUCGUACCACAUCUAAAAUAUCUCUAAGAUGAUUUAAAAACUGAAUUACAAUAAAAAACAAAAAAAAUCGAACUUUUUCAGACGCCAAUAUUGAUCUGCAUAUGCACCACAGGUCCCGGCAUUUUCGGAUCCUUUUCCGCCAAUAAAAACGGAUUUACAGAUUCGCGCAGAUUCCUAAAGGAAAUCAUUUUUUUAUUUUUCCAGCUGUUUUUAUAACUAAUGAGAAAAACGGAAAAAUAUUAAACAAACAGAUAUUAUAACAAAUAUUAUUAAAGAAAAAAUAUAAUAUAAUGCAUACGUAAUUUUAUUUUACCAUAAUAUUGCAUAUUAUAUACUAUUGACAAAGCACCACUAUUAACGGAACUCUGCUCUGAAUUGUUUUUCGUUAGCAAUGAUUAAUCGUUGCGAUAAGAUAUACAUUCAAUUUUCCCUCUACCUUAUCAACUAAUCACCUGCAGCAGUAGCCAAAACCAUAGUGCGGUGUGCGUCCGUAUUUUUUUGGCAUAAAAAAAAAUAUUUGACAUUUUCAAACGGGAGGUGUAGAGGAAACGGUGCUAGUGAAAUGUACGUUCAUUCCUCGCUUCGUUCAGAAUCUAAAAAAAAAACGCAAUAUAAUAAAACCAAUACGUUCGUCGCCGCGUUUAGAACCUAAAGAUAUUAUUAAAUUCUCGUUACGGUAAAGACUCUUGCAUAAUGUUGAGAAUAUUAUAAUGUGCGAUCGGCGAAACCCUCGAAACAGCUUUUCGCGGUCGCCGAAAACGACUGUAUCGGUAUAACCGGUAUAACCACAGUGGUUAUUAUAAUUUUUUAUUACAAUAUACUUACAAGUACGGACAGUGUCGUCUUCGGACGGAUCCGAACACCCUUUUUUUUUUUUUUUUUGUUAUACGUGACCUUUCCCCGGGGCUACCGAAUACCGGAUCAGUCGAACCGAUACGCCGAUAUUUAAAAAACAAACCGGACCGUAGAAUAUUACAAUAUCGCCGUUGUGUGUCUUUUCGAUACGUUACAUUGUUUCCCACGGAUAAGUGAAAUCGGUCGCAAACUGGUCGCGAUCGACGACACCGCGUAACCGGUCGAACGUUGCCGAUCGAACUCUCACGGGGGACUCCCCGCUCGCGACGCCCGGCAGACACCCCGGCUUUCUCAUGACCUUUCGAUACUCUGUAGCGACACAUAAUACGUGCAACGAUAAUAAUUUCUGUCCCGGCCGCGAAUCCAGUUCCGGAACAACGGGAACGGGUCGACGGCGGAGGCGACGCGCGCAGGCAGGGGCGAUCCUAGGGGUGACACCCCUCCCCUCCCCCUGAAGUCGGCAUAUUAUAGCUACAUUCACACAAGACCUAUAAUACUAAAAAUUUUAAUAUUUUUAUUUACAAGUUUUUCUUUGGGUUUUUUAAAUCGACAAUCGUGUAGUAGCUGAUGAUAAUCGGCGAAUAUCGGAUAAUGGCAUGAAAUACCAGUCGUCAGUGUACACAGCCGUUAAAUUUCGUUCUCGGAAGUCGGCGAAGUUCACUCCAAACCCGCCUAAAAACAAACCCUAGGAUCGCCACUGAACGCAGGUUUCGCUGUGCCGUCUGGCGGGGUAACGUCAGGGGCGUUUCGGACGUAUAGUGUCUCCGCACGAAGACGGCCGAGUUUUUCAAAAUUAAUUAAACGUUUUUAUCGCGGCACGACCGUGACAAACGGCAAAUAACGGCGCGUUUUAUAACAAUAAGACAACAGUUUUAUUAAAUACGUUAUUUUUUUCUACAAAUAUUUACGAAUAACAUACGCAGAGUAAUAUUUUAUGUAUUUUCGAGUUUUGUUUAUUAUUCCCUACCUCCCCUCACCCUCCAAUCCCCGAAGUUUUUUACGAGUCGGAUUUUAUAGUUUAAAACUUUAUAAGCUCUUAGUAAACUUUUAGCGUAGAUUUCUGUGUUAUAUUUUAAAACAAUGGUAAAAAAAACCCCCCAGUAGGAUACCUACAGCCAUAAGUUCGACUGAGAAAAGGUCAGAGUUAUAUAAAUUAUUCAAAAACGCAUAAAACAAUAAAGGUUUAACAUUCAAAAUAUCGUUCUCUCAGGUCGUCUGGCCAUAAUGUGUAUAAAACAAAACCUUUGCGGGUUGGCGUAAAAAGACACCGUAAAAUAAUUAUUACAAUGUAACAAUAUUAAAUGCACAAAGUGUUUUAGAAAUAUAUGAGUGUACUGAUCAAAACGUAAGAUUUAAUUUAAAUUCGAACAACAGGUGUCAAUUGUUGACGUUUGAUAAAAUGUUAGUGUUUACUCCAAUUUGUUCCGCUCAAACGGUAACAACCAGAAUUGAACUUACAUCGAAAUUAAUUUUUUUUCUUUAGGAAGAUAGGAUUGCCGAAUUUUAGAUAAUUUUUAAGUUCAAAAUUGGAACUCUUGGGGAGCACACGCAUACGCAUUUAAACGCGAUAUUUUAAACAAAAAUGCUUGUUUGUAUUACCGAAUAAUCUUAUAUUUUCAUACAAACUUCGACUUGUAAGAUUGUUUUCACCCGAGAGCCAUCUAAAGCUUAAAAAAAAUAUGGUUUUUCAAACAAUUUAAAGAACAGUUAUUACGCAGUUAAAUUACUUCACUUUUAAAAUCACCACGUUAUCAUGAAGGGUAAUGGUCUAAAGGUUAUGUACCUGUUUAAAUAAUGGUAAAAUCGCAUCCUUUUUUUUUUUUUACCGAAAUUAGUCAUAUUUUAUCUAUUAUUAAUAACAGAAAAACAUUUUUUAAUAUACUGUAUAUAUCUCGGGUGAAAUUUUAAAUAUUUUCCUAUUUUAUUACCUAUAAUAAAUAAUAUAAUAUAAUAUAAUAAUAAUAUAAUUCGUAUUUUUUUCGAAAACGAGGCCUCAAAUUUAAGUAAAAUGCGAGAGUCCCAAACCCUAUGCCAAGCCCGCCUCCCCCCCCCCUUAAGGACGGCCCAGAUCUCUGGAAAUUUUUAAAAUGGAAAUAAAUGACUCAAAAAGUGGUUACCACUAUGUAUUUAAAUAAAAUCGAAUCGAUCGAAGUCCAUCCGGCCGAAAUACUUCGUGUCACCAUUUCGGUGAACACAGUGUAUAUUAUUUACUAGUAAUUAAUUACUUUCAUUAUUAAUUAAUUUCAUACCAACGUUACAUAUUAUUCUAUAUUUUUAUUUUUAAGAGGCAAAACAAAAUGCCAGUCUUGAAUGUGUAUUAUUGAAUUUGUAUUGGAAGUGAAGCAGAUGUUAAUAUGAUUAUGUAUUUUUGGAUUGAUUGAUUAAAAUAAUAUAUUUCAUGAUCUAACGAUUCUAAAUAAAAAAAUUUAUUUUGCAUAAUUCGUCGUUUUUUUAAAAAUUUUAGAGCACAUUUGCAAAAUUUAGUACGUUUUUUAAACAUGUUUAAGGAUUUCGUACAGUCUUAAUACAUAUUUAACUCAACAAAUCAAAAACCACAAAACAAUUGUAUGAGAUUUAAAAGUAUAAAGUAUGUACUAAUACGUUUCACUCAAAUAAGUCAAUAUGGGUUUUAUAACUUUUGAACAAUAUGAUAAUAUAUGUAGGUACAUUGCUAUGACAUUUAUACAUUUUUAAAGCAUAUUUUAGUGUUUUUAUUGCAUAAAAUGUGCAUAUAAUAUAUUAUUUAAACGUUUUUGGGCACAUAAAUAUAUAUCCGCCUUGAUUAUAAAAUUGUUUAAUACCUAUACUAAAAUAUUUUGGUGUACGUAUAGGUAACGGCCGUGUCAGAAGCAUCGUCGAC
This 5617-nucleotide long non-coding RNA is filed under the name Cinara cedri. The record is from RNAcentral. Lineage: Eukaryota; Metazoa; Arthropoda; Insecta; Hemiptera; Aphididae.